AGGAUAACGGCAGUGAGGUGUGCUGGCAGCAGGAGCCCUCGCUGGUCUGCAUGGAGACUGAUCUCAGCGCAACAAACCUCAACUCUGGCCCGAACCAAGUCAGAAAGAUACUCCUAGUUACAUGUUUUCUAAAAGGCAGACAGAUUGACAUCACGGAGUUACACCCAACGUUUAGGUAUGACUUAAAAGUUUUGGAACAGCGUUGGUAAUUGAGCAAGUAAUGCUUGUGAAAGUAAAUAUAUUCAUUUAAUGACGGGCCUUUGUAAAUAAUAUGUGCCAUAGAAAUGACUCAUUAAAUAUAUUUGCACUCUUAACUAGUUAUAUUUUGUGUCAAAGGGCAAUGAGGAAAAUGCAACUUGCUGAACAGAGAUCUCUUUUUGUGAGCUACUGUAACGUGACAAUCUGUAAUUUAAAGCAUUACGUUUCAGGUUUGCCCUGCUUAAUACAGUACAUCAUAUCAACCAUGUGGUUACAUCUUCUAGGGGGUCUAGUAGUACUUCCUAGAGACUACAAAAUAACUAAGUGCUCUGUGUGUGGUUCAAUAUACACAACUAGUGCGUUGUAGGUCCUUCAUAAUUUCCCUUAGCAAGUGGGGUGAGAUUUUAUGUUGUCCUACCCACUAACUGUUAAAAACACAUACCAAUGUUAAAUAACGUUUGAAAUGUAUGCUAUAAAAUGUUAUUUAAAUCUUCAGGUAUUGACAAAUUCUGACUGAAAUUGAAAAGCUGCUGUUCUAACUUGAACAUUCUGUCUUGAAUCAGUAGUGGCUUCAGGAAGGAUAUUUUUAUUUUUUCUCUGAACAAGAACAUUUAGCUCCAAUAUGUUUAAAACUUCUUCAUUAAGAUGCACGUACAUGUUUUCAAAGAUGCAACAAAACCUAAUGCUGCAAAGACUUGUAAGUUAAUUUUGUCAGUCAAAGCCUAUGUAACAAAAAAAUAUAAAGUAAUAAAAUGUUCAGACCUC
This is a long non-coding RNA of Cygnus olor (mute swan), 963 nucleotides long. RefSeq lists it as uncharacterized. The transcript has 2 exons. Lineage: Eukaryota; Metazoa; Chordata; Aves; Anseriformes; Anatidae. The record is from RefSeq and is a predicted model, not a curated record.